Molecule: ribosomal RNA, 292 nt
Filed under: uncultured bacterium
Lineage: Bacteria
Description: partial 16S ribosomal RNA
Rfam family: Bacterial small subunit ribosomal RNA
Source: RNAcentral
GUGCCAGCAGCCGCGGUAAUACGGGGGGGGCAAGCGUUGUUCGGAAUUACUGGGCGUAAAGGGCUCGUAGGCGGCCAACUAAGUCGGACGUGAAAUCCCUCGGCUCAACCGAGGAACUGCGUCCGAUACUGGAUGGCUUGAAUCCGGGAGAGGGAUGCAGAAUUCCAGGUGUAGCGGUGAAAUGCGUAGAUAUCUGGAGGAAUACCGGUGGCGAAGGCGGCAUCCUGGACCGGCAUUGACGCUGAGGAGCGAAAGCCAGGGGAGCAAACGGGAUUAGAAACCCGCGUAGUCC